UACAGAGGUCCCAAGCGUUGUUCGGAUUCAUUGGGCGUAAAGGGUGCGUAGGCGGCGCGGUAAGUCGGGUGUGAAAUCUCGGGGCUUAACUCCGAAACUGCAUUCGAUACUGCCGUGCUUGAGGACUGGAGAGGAGACUGGAAUUUACGGUGUAGCGGUGAAAUGCGUAGAUAUCGUAAGGAAGACCAGUGGCGAAGGCGGGUCUCUGGACAGUUCCUGACGCUGAGGCACGAAGGCCGGGGGAGCAAACGGG
Molecule: ribosomal RNA, 253 nt
Filed under: uncultured bacterium
Lineage: Bacteria
Description: partial 16S ribosomal RNA
Rfam family: Bacterial small subunit ribosomal RNA
Source: RNAcentral